CCCCGCGCCCGUCCCGCCGCCCCCGCCCGGGCACAAGCGGUGGAGCAUGUGGAUUAAUUCGAUGCAACGCGAAGAACCUUACCAAGGCUUGACAUGAACCGGAAACACCUGGAGACAGGUGCCCCGCUUGCGGUCGGUUUACAGGUGGUGCAUGGUUGUCGUCAGCUCGUGUCGUGAGAUGUUGGGUUAAGUCCCGCAACGAGCGCAACCCUCGUUCUAUGUUGCCAGCACGUGAUGGUGGGGACUCAUAGGAGACUGCCGGGGUCAACUCGGAGGAAGGUGGGGACGACGUCAAAUCAUCAUGCCCCUUAUGUCUUGGGCUUCACGCAUG
Molecule: ribosomal RNA, 331 nt
Filed under: uncultured Arthrobacter sp.
Lineage: Bacteria; Bacillati; Actinomycetota; Actinomycetes; Micrococcales; Micrococcaceae
Description: bacterial SSU rRNA
Rfam family: Bacterial small subunit ribosomal RNA
Source: RNAcentral